GACAGAGGUGCCGAGCGUUAGGCGGAAUCACUGGGCUUAAAGCGUGUGUAGGCGGAUCCGUAAGUACCUUGUGAAAUCCUACGGCUCAACCGUGGAACUGCUGGGUAUACUGCGGGUCUUGAGCCACCUAGGGGCGAGCGGAACAAGUGGUGGAGCGGUGAAAUGCGUAGAUAUCACUUGGAACGCCAAUGGUGAAAACAGCUCGCUGGGGGUGCGCUGACGCUGAGACACGAAAGCCAGGGGAGCAAACGGG
Molecule: ribosomal RNA, 253 nt
Filed under: uncultured bacterium
Lineage: Bacteria
Description: partial 16S ribosomal RNA
Rfam family: Bacterial small subunit ribosomal RNA
Source: RNAcentral